Molecule: non-coding RNA, 1070 nt
Organism: Pimephales promelas (fathead minnow)
Lineage: Eukaryota; Metazoa; Chordata; Actinopteri; Cypriniformes; Leuciscidae
Source: RefSeq, a predicted model, not a curated record
CCAGGCUUAAUAAUGAGAAACACUAUUUAGCCGUCUGACCCAGUCACAAAAGGGUUAACUUUUAUUUCUUCUCUUUGAUGGACAUGUAAGUGAGCCAAUGGGUGAGCUCUGUGAGAUAGUGAGCUGACCAAUCAGCUGCCCGCUAGGCUCUGUUACAGUUACACCUCUAGUUUCGCGUCACUGCACGUUCUUUUGGCGCUUGCACUUGAGCAUAGAAGGCUGCGUUAUCUGCUUGAGUGUAAACGAAAGCUGUGCCUGUAUCCACUGUUGUCACGGAGCUAAAGGCAAUGGAUUCCGUUAAAAUGGUCAGGUUUUGGUAAAGAGUGGGAAACAUCGUGCAGAGGUCCUGGAGAGAUACAGAUCCAGACGUUCCGAACGUUCUUCGAGAGACUCAUUGAUUCCCAGUCCAGGUGGCUGGGUGGCGAGCCAACCGUGUUUGACAACGAAUCAAAUCGCUUUAGAUGAACUGUCCGGAUCAUCCUCUUCAUCUUCUUUGUGGUAGGACAAGCACUAACUCAACCUAAAAAAAUAAAGGGCCCCAACGUUGAAACUGCAUUCUUGUCUACAAAGGCAAGGUGAACCGAGGACAAUCUGAGCUCAAAAGUACUGAAUAAGAGGGUUUUGUUUUGUUUAUGUGCGCACUUUAUUAUUUUAGUUUGUUAUUUUUCAUAAAUGUGUUUUUUGUAUGUAUGUUCUACCCUGUGAUUUUAAUACAGGUUAUCUAAACUGUCAUUUUGGUGUGGUAUUCUUUUAUUUGAUGUUCAAGUCUCAGGCUCUUAAAAAUCUAGCGUCUGCUGAUUCUGGUCCACAUCGUAUCCAUAAUAACCUCUGUGCUAUUUUAGACUAUUAAACCUAUGUACAUUAUUUCUACUAUCUAGUAAUAAGGGUUACAUUAUUGGCGAGCCAGCCAGGAGCCAGAGACAUUGAAUAUCAAUAUUGAAAGAAUAUGCAAAAUGGAUUUCAUACAGAAGUCAGGUGUAAAAAUUCCUAAUGCAGUGAUCGUUAGUGGGGUAACCCAGGUAGCAGAUCAGGAUGAGCAAGUUGUUGACUUCCUUAAGAAGUACGGUUCC